AUGCGUGUCUGUCAAGCCGGCCGCUGGCCCGGCCAGGAACAGAUCCGCCAGGGUCGGGGUAGCCGACAAUGCUGCUUCUUCUUCUGCUUCAUCUUGGAACAAACCUUGGAGCCGACAAUGCUGCAGAUAUCGGCUGCUGCUGCUUCUUCUGCUUCAUCUUCUUCGGGCUCGGCCGCAGAUGGCUACGGCAGAGGUGUCGGCUAUGCCGUCAGUAGCAGCGGCAGGGUCAAUGGCGUUGCUGGUAUGGUUGGAGAUGCCGGGAGGGCGAGGAGAAGGGUCGGGCGGGAGGUGUUAGCCACGUGCAACGCCAUGGAGGGGGUCCGCCAUGGCGCGGUAGCCGUCGUCGUGCCCAGCGUGUCGGGGCUGCCCGAGCGGGCCAAGGUGGUGGUGCUCAUGGCAGCCGUCAUGCUGCUCUGCAACGCUAGCCGGGUCGUCAUGUCGGUCGCCGUCGUGCCGCUCGCCGCGCAGCACGGCUGGUCCAGCUCCUUCGUUGGCAUAGUCCAGUCAUCAUAUCUAUGGGGCUAUGUUUUAUCAUCCAUGGUUGGAGGAGCUUUGGCGGACAGAUACGGAGGGAAGAAGGUGAUGGCGGGUGCUGCUGCACUCUGGUCCUUGGCCACUUUCCUCACUCCAUGGGCUGCCUCUCAAUCCGCCAUUACGUUGCUUGCUAUACGUGUGCUCUUUGGCCUUGCACAAGGUGUCGCAUUUCCGACAAUGAGCACUCUCUUACCAAAGUGGUUCCCAACACAUGAACGUGCCACUGCUGUCGGCCUUUCCAUGGGAGGAUUCCAUCUUGGGAAUGUCGUAAGCUUCCUAGCAACACCGAUCAUCAUGUCACAUAUAGGCCUCGCCGGAACAUUUGCCUUCUUCGCAUCACUUGGUUACUUGUGGAUCUCUGUAUGGCUGUUGAAUGUAGAAAGUGACCCUAUCGACAGCCGCACUAUAAGAAAAUCUGAGCUGCAACUUAUUCUAGCUGGACGAAGUAAAUCAAAAGUCAAAGGCAGCAAAUCACCAUCCUUAAGACAAGUGUUCUCAAAGAUGGAAAUGUGGGCCAUCAUUAUAGCUAAUGUUAUAAAUAAGUGGGGCUAUUUUGUCCUACUAUCAUGGAUGCCGGUGUACUUCAAAAUGGUAUAUAAUGUGAAUUUGAAACAAGCUGCAUGGUUUAGCGCCAUACCUUGGGGCGUCAUGGCUCUAUCAGGAUAUGUUGCAGGAGCUUCUGCAGAUUUCAUGAUCAAAACCGGCUUAUCUAUUGGGCGAGUCCGGAAAAUUAUGCAGUCAAUCGAUUUUAUUGGGCCAGGUGUGUCAUUGCUAUGUUUAAGAUUUGCCCAAACACCAUCCGUUGCGGCAGUUAUCAUGACGGCCGCCUUGGGUAUGAAUUCCUGCAGUCAAGCUGGGGACUUCUGUAAUAUCCAGGACAUUGCCCCUAAAUACGCUGGAUCCCUACAUGGACUGACGAACGGCAUUGGGACGGUGGCUGCCAUAGUUAGCACGGUAGGAGCAGGAUACUUCAUCCAGUGGCUGGGAUCCUUCCAGGCCUUCCUCACCCUAACGGCGGUGCUCUAUUUCAGCGCCAUCGUCUUCUACAACAUCUAUGCGACAGGAGACUUGAUUUUUGACUGA
RNAcentral lists this ribosomal RNA (1617 nucleotides) under Triticum aestivum (bread wheat). RNAcentral's name for it is "partial small subunit ribosomal RNA". The record is from RNAcentral. Lineage: Eukaryota; Viridiplantae; Streptophyta; Magnoliopsida; Poales; Poaceae.